GCUAGCUUAUGGCUAACCAACACCUUGUAGAUUUAAAGGCCUGCUAAGGAAAAUCCUCAAAGCCUUUUAUCAAGGAACACACGUCACAAUGCACGGCAAGUAAAGAGGAGUGCUAAUCUGUGAAGCUUACGCCACGCUGAGCUGAACAUUCAGAUGACCAGAGGAGGGCAGAGGGGCGGCAGAAAGCGACUCUGCAAAGAAAGCCAAGCGCUGCUGAAGGUCUAAAGAAGGAACAAGGUUCAGAAGCCCAGGCCUCCAGAGACCAUCGCAGUCUUUUAAAGAUAUGUGCUCACUUAAUCACUGAAGAAAAGGGCCCCCAGAGCUAGCCUAAUAUUAUAAUUAAUUAAUUCAACCAAAAAGGGGUAUUAAAUUUCCUCCCUCUCAGGAUAUCAGCUGAAUACAUUGACCUUUGUGGAAAUCGCCCUCUAAUUUGAAUCAGGGGUUUUUUGAGUCGUUUACAGACUAAACUUGUUUCUUUUUCCUCUACUCCCAUCUAUGUUUUUUGGGAGGGGGGUUUCUCUCUGUCUGCAGGAGUUUGAGGAAAAAGCCUCAUACUACAGGGUGUGCGUGAGAGAGCAACUUUGUCCAUAACGUGCCUCUUUUUGUGUGCGAGUGUGCGCGUAUCUUCACAGAUUUGUGUUUUAUGUGCGUGUCUGUGCAAAAAAAAAGUGCAUGUGAGUGUGAGUGAUCCCUAGUUUUAUCUCCCUGCUGUAACACAGAAAAGAACAGAAACUUUUCUUAUUACCGGAGAGAGUGGUAGAA
This is a long non-coding RNA of Oreochromis aureus, 762 nucleotides long. RefSeq lists it as uncharacterized. The record is from RefSeq and is a predicted model, not a curated record. NCBI's taxonomy places the organism in Eukaryota, Metazoa, Chordata, Actinopteri, Cichliformes, Cichlidae. The transcript is spliced from 3 exons.